ACACAGGUGGUCGGGUAGAGAAUACCAAGGCGCUUGAGAGAACUCGGGUGAAGGAACUAGGCAAAAUGGUACCGUAACUUCGGGAGAAGGUACGCUCUUGAUGGUGAAGUCCCUCGCGGAUGGAGCUGACGAGAGUCGCAGAUACCAGGUGGCUGCAACUGUUUAUUAAAAACACAGCACUGUGCAAAAUCGUAAGAUGACGUAUACGGUGUGACGCCUGCCCGGUGCCGGAAGGUUAAUUGAUGGGGUUAGACUUC
This 257-nucleotide ribosomal RNA is filed under the name Vibrio parahaemolyticus. Its description in RNAcentral is "partial 23S ribosomal RNA". It matches the Rfam family "Bacterial large subunit ribosomal RNA", at positions 1657 to 1898 of the family's 2925-position model. Lineage: Bacteria; Pseudomonadati; Pseudomonadota; Gammaproteobacteria; Vibrionales; Vibrionaceae. The record is from RNAcentral.